This 200-nucleotide long non-coding RNA is filed under the name Solanum tuberosum (potato). RNAcentral's name for it is "long non-coding RNA (STUB_LNC006924)". The record is from RNAcentral. Lineage: Eukaryota; Viridiplantae; Streptophyta; Magnoliopsida; Solanales; Solanaceae.
AAGAAAGAACAAAGAAAAUAGAUAUAUGACAUAUGGUAGAUUGUUAAUAUUAUUGUGUUGCCUAAUAACAGACCAUAUAAAACGCAAGCACACAUCAAAGGGAAAAGAAAAAGAACACAAGAUACAGUUCCAAUACACAAGUAUAUCUCAUGAUAAACCUAACCGGUGUUUAUUUUCAUGUUAACAAAACUUAAUUUAGU